RNAcentral lists this ribosomal RNA (93 nucleotides) under Halomonas sp. A11-A. The record is from RNAcentral. Lineage: Bacteria; Pseudomonadati; Pseudomonadota; Gammaproteobacteria; Oceanospirillales; Halomonadaceae.
ACCACCUGAACCCAUGCCGAACUCAGCAGUGAAACCGCUCAGCGCCGAUGGUAGUGUGGGGUCUCCCCAUGUGAGAGUAGGUCAUCGUCAGGC